RNAcentral lists this ribosomal RNA (434 nucleotides) under uncultured bacterium. Its description in RNAcentral is "partial 16S ribosomal RNA". It matches the Rfam family "Bacterial small subunit ribosomal RNA", at positions 29 to 507 of the family's 1533-position model. The record is from RNAcentral.
AGCGAACGCUGGCGGCAGGCCUAACACAUGCAAGUCGAACGAACCUUUCGGGGUUAGUGGCGGACGGGUGUGUAACACGUGGGAACGUGCCUUUAGGUUCGGAAUAACUCAGGGAAACUUGUGCUAAUACCGAAUGUGCCCUUCGGGGGAAAGAUUUAUCGCCGUUAGAGGGGCCCGCGUCUGAUUAGCUAGUUGGUUGAGGUAAUGGCUCACCAAGGCGACGAUCAGUAGCUGGUCUGAGAGGAUGAUCAGCCACAUUGGGACUGAGACACGGCCCAAACUCCUACGGGAGGCAGCAGUGGGGAAUCGUGCGCAAUGGGCGAAAGCCUGACGCAGCCAUGCCGGGUGAAUGAUGAAGGUCUUAGGAUUGUAAAAUUCUUUCACCGGGGACGAUAAUGACGGUACCCGGAGAAGAAGCCCCGGCUAACUUCGUG